UUGUUGUAUCUGAGCCCUAACAAGUAUAGAGAUAUUGUAUAUGUGAUCUUAAUUAAGAAAAACCAGAUUGGACCAACUAAUCAUUUCACCAGUGUCGAUCGUUUUUUCAUAUUUUCAAAAAGAAAACUUUAUUCCUGGUCUCUUCAUAAACCAGUGUUUUUUGCUAAAGAAAGGAACUGGCUUAUAUUUUAAAGUCUUACGUUAACAAAAAUAUUUUGUUCAUUUUGCUUUCAUGAAUGAAAACAUUGAUAUGGUUGGUUAAUUCUUGAAUUUUUAUUUAUUUAUUUUUUUUUUGAAGAAAAUCUGUGCUAUUUUUGUUCCCCCCAAAUGUUCUGGUGUUUUAAGAAUUAAUGCUAGUAACAUCACUUCUAAAUUUACAGUUAUUUGGCUCGCAUGUUUAAUUAAUAAUAGUGUAUCAGUAAAUAUCUUAAGACCGGAUUCAUAGACAAGGAAUGGGAAGCAAUAGUGAAAUAUAUGCGGAAAUUUCUGAUUCAUUUAGGAAGCGCUUCACUUGUUUCUUGCAUAGUUCAAAGGUGAAUGUUUCCAGGAAUUUUUUAAAGUUUUUUUUAAAAGAGAAAAACGUACAUUUGAAUGUGAAAAAUAGAAUUUCUACAACACUGGACUACUAGAAAUAACUUUUUAAAAAUUACUGUUGUGUAUAAAUUAUUUGAAAUUCAAGUACAAAACACACCCGAGAAAGCAUUGUCUUUUGGCCGAGACACAAGUGCACUGAGGCACUGCCGUUUGCUCAGGACCCAACUGUGCGGCCCUCGGGAUGUGUUCCUCCCUCUUGAGCUCUCUUGCGGUUACUAGACACACACAGGCCUUCCUCUCUGGUCCUCGGAAAAGCCGGGCUUCCAAAGCACUGUUGAACACUGACGGUUCUCUUGUUAAUGUGGAUGUUCAAUGAGUUGUAUUUUAAAUAUCAAAGAUUAUUAAAUAAAGAUAAUGUUUGCUUUUUUA
RNAcentral lists this long non-coding RNA (963 nucleotides) under Lynx pardinus (Iberian lynx). Lineage: Eukaryota; Metazoa; Chordata; Mammalia; Carnivora; Felidae. The record is from RNAcentral.